This 706-nucleotide long non-coding RNA is filed under the name Marmota monax (woodchuck). The record is from RNAcentral. Lineage: Eukaryota; Metazoa; Chordata; Mammalia; Rodentia; Sciuridae.
GAAAGAGGAAAAAAAAUACAAAAAAAAUUGUCAAUUUAAAAGAUUUUUUAAAAGGUGAAAAAGUUUGCUCUUGAAUCUGGGGAAAUUACUGUUCAGGAACCACAUAAUUAAAAAUAAUUGCAACGUGAGGGCAAAUUAGUAAAAAGAUGUCAGGUGCUAUCUUUAGUUUAUCUCCCGUGAGAAAGAGGCAUAGCCUCAUGGACUUAAAAAAAGAGAUAAUCUUAGACCUUAAGUUAGAGAGUAGAAGUUAGAAGCUGUUGGGAAAGCAGAAAGAUGUUCCUGAGACAUCACAGAAUUCUUCAGCAUUGCCAACCCUCAGGGAAACUGUGGGAGGCAACACCAAACAGCAAAUGGAGACCCUCAGAGGUAGAGGUCUCUCCCUGAAGUAGCAGAGACUCUUCCCACCCAAAGAUGGCAGCGCCAGAUUGGGGGUCUGGCUGGCAGCUUCUGCAAUCCUAAAGUCAUUAACAAUGGAAUUACAAUUCUGCCAAGAGGACUCCAAACCGCCCCCCUUCCUUUCCUUUCCCCUCUAGCUCUUGGGUCACUAAAUUGGAAUCGGUAACUACUUCAGCUUAAUGCUUCUGAGAAAGAUAUGCAUCCAACUGGAAUUUGAGAGCAUCCAAGAAGCAAAUCACACUCUUUCAAAGGGAAAUACAAGAAUAACAGCUCUCAUUUUUGUAUGAACAUAAUUAGUACUUUUCAUAAU